Molecule: ribosomal RNA, 235 nt
Filed under: uncultured bacterium
Lineage: Bacteria
Description: partial 16S ribosomal RNA
Rfam family: Bacterial small subunit ribosomal RNA
Source: RNAcentral
CGGACGGGUGAGUAACGCGUGGAUAACCUGCCUCACACAGGGGGAUAACAGUUAGAAAUGACUGCUAAUACCGCAUAAGCGCACGGUACCGCAUGGUACAGUGUGAAAAACUCCGGCGGUGUGAGAUGGAUCCGCGUCUGAUUAGGUAGUUGGUGAGGUAACGGCCCACCAAGCCGACGAUCAGUAGCCGACCUGAGAGGGUGACCGGCCACAUUGGGACUGAGACACGGCCCAA